This 408-nucleotide ribosomal RNA is filed under the name uncultured bacterium. Its description in RNAcentral is "bacterial SSU rRNA". It matches the Rfam family "Bacterial small subunit ribosomal RNA", at positions 94 to 518 of the family's 1533-position model. The record is from RNAcentral.
AGUGGCGGACGGGUGAGUAACACGUGAGUAACCUGCCUUUCAGAGGGGAAUAAUGUUUGGAAACGGACACUAAUACCGCAUAAUAUAUUUUAAUCGCAUGAUUGAAGUAUCAAAGGAGCAAUCCGCUGAAAGAUGGACUCGCGUCUGAUUAGCCAGUUGGCGGGUAACGGCCACCAAAGCGACGAUCAGUAGCCGGACUGAGAGGUUGAACGGCCACAUUGGGACUGAGACACGGCCCAGACUCCUACGGGAGGCAGCAGUGGGGGAUAUUGCACAAUGGGCGCAAGCCUGAUGCAGCAAACCGCCGCGUGCAGGAAGACGGUCUUCGGAUUGUAAACUGUUGUCCUCUGUGACGAUAAUGACGGUAGCAGAGGAGGAAGCCACGGCUAACUACGUGCCAGCAGCAGC